AAGUUAUCAUGAAAGGUAGAGGGAAUAGACCCGUUGAAGCCUUAGCAACCCUUUUCUGUUUUGUUAGAAAUGAAGGUGCUACAUUCUACUAGCAGUUUUUGUUAGAUAGAUAACAC
This 116-nucleotide non-coding RNA is filed under the name Wenyingzhuangia fucanilytica. RNAcentral describes it as "SAM-I sequence". It matches the Rfam family "SAM riboswitch aptamer (S box leader)". From Rfam's summary of the family: The SAM riboswitch is found upstream of a number of genes which code for proteins involved in methionine or cysteine biosynthesis in Gram-positive bacteria. Lineage: Bacteria; Pseudomonadati; Bacteroidota; Flavobacteriia; Flavobacteriales; Flavobacteriaceae. The record is from Rfam by way of RNAcentral.